AGAGUUUGAUCCUGGCUCAGGACGAACGCUGGCGGCGUGCUUAAUACGUGCAAGUCGAGCGAGGUUACUGCGACAGAUCCCUUCGGGGUGAAGUUGCUUUAACCUAGCGGCGGACGGGUGAGUAACGCGUGGGUAACCUACCCUAAAGUUCGGGAUAACAGCGGGAAACCGCUGCUAAUACCGGAUGCCUUUACCGUGUGGCAUCACAAGGUAAAGAAAGGUGACGCUUUAGGAUGGGCCCGCGUCCCAUUAGCUAGUUGGUGAGGUAACAGCUCACCAAGGCGACGAUGGGUAGCCGGCCUGAGAGGGUGGACGGCCACACUGGGACUGAGACACGGCCCAGACUCCUACGGGAGGCAGCAGUAGGGAAUAUUGCGCAAUGGACGGAAGUCUGACGCAGCGACGCCGCGUGAGCGAUGAAGGCCUUCGGGUUGUAAAGCUCUGUCCUUGGGGAAGAAGGUCUUCGGACUUGACGGUACCCAAGAAGAAAGCCCCGGCUAACUACGUGCCAGCAGCCGCGGUAAUACGUAGGGGGCGAGCGUUGUCCGGAAUUACUGGGCGUAAAGGGUGCGUAGGCGGCCCUUUAAGUCGGAUGUGAAAGCCCGCAGCUUAACUGCGGAAUUGCAUUUGAAACUGGAGGGCUCGAGUGUCGGAGAGGGUAGUGGAAUUCCCAGUGUAGCGGUGAAAUGCGUAGAUAUUGGGAGGAACACCAGUGGCGAAGGCGACUGCCUGGACGAUAACUGACGCUGAGGCACGAAAGCUGGGGGAGCAAACAGGAUUAGAUACCCUGGUAGUCCUAGCCGUAAACGAUGGGUACUANGUGUAGGUGGUUUCGAUACCAUCUGUGCCGUANUUAACGCAUUAAGUACCCCGCCNGGGGAGUACGUGCGCAAGCAUGAAACUCANUGAAUUGACGG
RNAcentral lists this ribosomal RNA (917 nucleotides) under uncultured bacterium. Its description in RNAcentral is "bacterial SSU rRNA". It matches the Rfam family "Bacterial small subunit ribosomal RNA", at positions 8 to 916 of the family's 1533-position model. The record is from RNAcentral.